Molecule: long non-coding RNA, 221 nt
Filed under: Mytilus galloprovincialis (Mediterranean mussel)
Lineage: Eukaryota; Metazoa; Mollusca; Bivalvia; Mytilida; Mytilidae
Source: RNAcentral
CUAAAAGCUUGUCAGCUGCUUGGCCGCACGCAAUUAUGUAUCCGGUAUCUGUUUAUUUUUUAUAAGCUCCUAGACAGAUGAAAUCUUGUACGUGUUUUCCUAAAGAUCCGACGACCUUGAAAGAAUGCAUUUUGGCUUUUAUCUAGACUUUCUCUCAUUACAUGUUUAUAGCCUGGUAUCCCGGCCCGAUAUCUAGCUGCGCGUCGUAAGGACAAGAUUAG